AUAACAUCUGGCUUGAGCUCUGCAAGGAGACUGCUUUAAACCUGGGACUUUCAGCCACCAGGUUCCAGAUGCUAACAUGAUGCCAAGUGGACUUCCCUGGGCAGAAGACCCCACCAAUAUGUCCUGGAGCCCCGCUUGCCCAGAGCUUCACCCCACUAGGGAAAGAAAGAAGCAGGCUGGGAGUAUGGAUCACCUGUCAAUGCCCAUGUUCAGUGGGGAAGCAAUUACAGAAACCAGACCUUCCACCAUCAGCACCCCAUAAUGACCCUGGGUGUCCAUACUUUCAGAGGGAUAAAGAAUAGGAAAGCUAUCAGGGGAGGGGAGUGGUGGGGGUGGGAUAGUGAGUUCUAGUUGUGGGAAUUGUGUGAAGUUGUACCCCCUCUUAUCCUUUGUUUUUUGUCAGUGUUUCCUUUUUAUAAAUAAUUUUUUUUUAAAAGACUAGGGGAGCUGUCAAGGGAGUAGAUUGCAUAUGGAGUUCUGGGGGUGGGAAUUGUGUGGAAAUGUACCCCUCUUAUCCUAUAGUCUUGUCAAUAUUUCCAUUUUAUUAAUAAAUAU
This is a long non-coding RNA of Erinaceus europaeus (western European hedgehog), 555 nucleotides long. RefSeq lists it as uncharacterized. The transcript is spliced from 2 exons. Lineage: Eukaryota; Metazoa; Chordata; Mammalia; Eulipotyphla; Erinaceidae. The record is from RefSeq and is a predicted model, not a curated record.